RNAcentral lists this small RNA (844 nucleotides) under Pongo abelii (Sumatran orangutan). Its description in RNAcentral is "processed transcript". Lineage: Eukaryota; Metazoa; Chordata; Mammalia; Primates; Hominidae. The record is from RNAcentral.
CGCACGCGCAUCUGACGGUUGUCUAGGUUACUCAUCCCCAGCAGCAGAGUGAGACCCUGUCAAAAAAAAAAGAAAGAAAGAAAAUAGAAGCCAAGAAUGGAGACCCAAAUGACUGUUCAGAGUUUCUUCGUGGGUUGUCUUCUGGCCUCAGAGUAUCCCUUAUCAGAACCUUGGGCCCCUGGGCCCCUUCACUCAGUACUUGGUGGACCACCAUCACACCCUCCUGUGCAAUGGGUAUUGGCUUGCCUGGCUGAUUCAUGUGGGAGAGUCCUUGUAUGCCAUAGUAUUGUGCAAGCAUAAAGGCAUCACAAGUGGUCGGGCUCAGCUACUCUGGUUCCUACAGACUUUCUUCUUUGGGAUAGUGUCUCUCACCAUCUUGAUUGCUUACAAAGGGAAACGCCAAAAACAAACUUGAAGUUGUCUGAAAGCUUGCUCUACACUUUUACAUUCAUCCUCACCUUUUUUUUGUGGGGUAGAGGAGGUGCAGUAUUUACUCAGUGAUCUUUCUACUUUCUGGAAACUGUCCUUCAAAGCUCUUUAAGACCCCCUCGUUAGUCAGUUUUUUCUCUUAUAUGCUCUGGUUGAGCUUGAAUAGACCAGUUAUUACUUAAGAAGAAACAGAGAAAGAUUUUAGCUUUUCAAUCCUAUUUGGCAGAGGACUUCAGCUACCUUCUUACGGUCUUUGGCUGUGUUGGUGCCCUUGUGUGCUCUGAGCUAAGCCACAUACUAAAUUGACUUUUUGGUUUGUAUACCCUUGCUCCCGCCUUCUGAUGAAAACACCUUACCCUCACAACCACCAUCUUUCCUCUGCUUUCCAAAGCUCUUUCCACCUUGCUGCACUAAG